Molecule: long non-coding RNA, 1764 nt
Organism: Camelus dromedarius (Arabian camel)
Lineage: Eukaryota; Metazoa; Chordata; Mammalia; Artiodactyla; Camelidae
Exons: 3
Source: RefSeq, a predicted model, not a curated record
GGGGGAACAGGGUGUGCAGGACACAGAGGGAACAAGAAUGGCCACAUGCUGGGAGCUGCUGAAGCUGGGUGAGGGGGACAUGGGUGUUCAUGAGACUUUUCUCUCCACUGUUGUAUGUUUUGGAAUUUCCCCUAAAAAAAAAAGUGUUUUCCUUCAAAUUCAAAUAACUAGGGAUGUUGGAAAAAAAUUUUUGGCAGCCGGAGAAGAAAGUAAUUUAAGCCCUUCUUCUGAAAGGAACCUGCACUAUUGGAAACGGGAGCAUCUCCUUUAAGAAUGGUGUCCAGGAGGAAGGGCGCUGAGGCACAGACCAUGGACCCAGCCCUAUUCCUGGGCUCCAGUCCCAGGGCUGCCACUUACUAGCUAUGGAACCUGAAGCAACUGAUUUCAACUCUAAACACCUCCCUGAAAAGCUGGGAUCCUAACAGUGGCUGCCUCCUGAGGGCUGUGUGAGGUGAUUGCUGAAUUAAUGCAGGCGAAGGGCUUGGACUGGUGCCUGGGAUGAAGCUGUGCCACGUAAAUGCUGGCAGAGAUGAUUGAAGCACGUGCCAGCCAGAUUUAACACCGCACAGGGGCUCACAGCGAAUGCAUCGACGGUUCCCUUACACAGAAUUCACUGUUUCAACAGUCGCCGAUAAGAGUAGAUGACAAGAAUUCUCCCAGCACCAAUGCCCUUCAGGAACCUUCCUUUGCCCUUACAGAACCCCUUUUAUGUAAGUCAGCUGCGCCAAUGCUUGGGAGACACCGUCUAAAUUACGUAAGUGGUGUUUUUAAUGGUAGCUGUGAAAAUUAAUGGUAGAAAAUUCCCUAAGUGGAUGUGAUUUCAGAAGGAAGCUUGAAAGUCCCUUCUAGGGUGACCAUCCCAGUGCACAGAGAAAUAGACCUCUGUCCUCUUCCUGCUGCUGUAGAAUUUUUUAAGGUAAUACAAAUGAUUCCUGAAAGGUUUCUUCCUCCUAAACACAAUGUGAUUUUUUUCUUAAUAUUUUCUCCCCCGACAGCUGCUGGUGUUAUGUUAGUAUUCAGUGCCAACAUGCCCGCUGCAAAAAAUUGUGUAACAUCCCACCACGCCAGGCUGCCCAAGAGGUCAAAUCUCCAAGCCAGACUGCUGGAUUGAGAAAAGCAAACAAAGGAAGAGGCGCUUAAGUCUCCCCUUGAGUACGGGCUGGACUGUGUGACUUGCUUCUAACAAGCAGAGUGAGGGAAGGGAAAAACUGUGACAUUACAGUUGGGAAACCUGGUGGGCGGCCCGUGGCACAGGGCGGCAGGUCACCAUCACCUGAGCGUACUCCUCCCCACACCUGCCAGCCCGGUCUAACCAUGAGGAAAGUUAGUCCCCGACAGAGGGGCAUUCUACGCAAUACCUGACCAGCGCUCCUCAAAACUGUCAAGGUCAUGAAAAACAAAAGACUGAGAAACUGUCACAGAGUGGAGGAGACCAAGGAGACAUGAUGAACGGAUGUGACACGGUAUCCUGGACUGGAUCUUGGAACAGAAGAACAUCAGUGGAAAAACGGGCAGAUGUAAGAAAGCCGGGAGUUCCCUCAGUAGGAUACACAUCAGUGUUAAUUUCUCAGUUUUGACAAAUGUUACUUUAAGUAAGACACGAACAUGGGAAGAGGCUGAAUAUAAAGCAUAUGGGAAGUCCCUACUGUGUGCCUUUUCUGUAAAUCUAAAGUUAUUAAAUAAAAGUUUUUGUGAAGUACCUCCUGACUUGGCUACAAGUAGUCACCAUCAGAGUCCCUAAGUCCCUACAUCUGCCUCUUUAGC